Molecule: ribosomal RNA, 423 nt
Filed under: uncultured bacterium
Lineage: Bacteria
Description: bacterial SSU rRNA
Rfam family: Bacterial small subunit ribosomal RNA
Source: RNAcentral
AAGACCUUGCACUUUUGGAGCGGCCGAUGUCUGAUUAGCUAGUUGGUGGGGUAAUGGCCUACCAAAGCUUCGAUCAGUAGCUGGUCUGAGAGGACGGCCAGCCACACUGGGACUGAGACACGGCCCAGACUCCUACGGGAGGCAGCAGUGGGGAAUUUUGGACAAUGGGCGCAAGCCUGAUCCAGCCAUGCCGCGUGAGUGAAGAAGGCCUUCGGGUUGUAAAGCUCUUUCAGCCGGAACGAAACGGUUACGGAUAACACCCGUGACUACUGACGGUACCGGAAGAAGAAGCACCGGCUAACUACGUGCCAGCAGCCGCGGUAAUACGUAGGGUGCGAGCGCUAAUCGGAAUUACUGGGCGUAAAGCGUGCGCAGGUGGUUUUGUAAGUCAGAUGUGAAAGCCCCGGGCUCAACCUGGGAACU